UACGAAGGGGGCAAGCGUUGUUCGGAAUGACUGGGCGUAAAGGGCGCGUAGGCGGUUCGUUGCGUCAGAUGUGAAAGCCCCGGGCUCAACCUGGGAACUGCAUUUGAUACGGGCGGGCUUGAAUCCAAGAGAGGGUGGUGGAAUUCCCAGUGUAGAGGUGAAAUUCGUAGAUAUUGGGAAGAACACCAGUGGCGAAGGCGGCCACCUGGCUUGGUAUUGACGCUGAGGCGCGAAAGCGUGGGGAGCAAACAGG
Molecule: ribosomal RNA, 253 nt
Filed under: Inquilinus limosus
Lineage: Bacteria; Pseudomonadati; Pseudomonadota; Alphaproteobacteria; Rhodospirillales; Rhodospirillaceae
Also listed under: 2 other names
Description: partial 16S ribosomal RNA
Rfam family: Bacterial small subunit ribosomal RNA
Source: RNAcentral